RNAcentral lists this unclassified non-coding RNA (317 nucleotides) under uncultured fungus. RNAcentral's name for it is "sequence contains ITS1". Lineage: Eukaryota; Fungi. The record is from RNAcentral.
GGCAUAUCCGAGUACGCGCUAGCACAAUGUCUCAACACUGUACAGCGUUCACGAAUUCCUUGUCCGCUUUGCCGUCACGAUUUUGUUGAUCUGCGUCUGCUCGUGCCGCGGCAGAUCGCGCAGAUAACACUCGACCGAUUCCACCACCAGGCGCCACUGCGGCUGCUUUCGCACCUUGCUCAGCGCGACCAGCUUGUCCCUGGACUGUUUUGGCAAGCGGAAGCUCACUUGCGGGUAGUCCUUGACGCGCUCGCCGCGAUCGCCGGCGGGCGGACGCCCAACCCUGUUCGAAGGCAUUCCACUUCUUGACCGCGUCG